Molecule: long non-coding RNA, 2284 nt
Organism: Canis lupus familiaris (dog)
Lineage: Eukaryota; Metazoa; Chordata; Mammalia; Carnivora; Canidae
Exons: 3
Source: RefSeq, a predicted model, not a curated record
CUGCGUAGAUGCCCAUAGAAGCAGAGGAGGCAGGGAGGCCACAGCCGGCCUCGGGCCUCUCGUGGGCUGCAGGCCUGGGCGCCCACAAGGAACUCAUCUGGGUGCUGCACGUUCUUCACGCCCCCGCUCUGCAUGGGCUUCGUCUUCAGCACACUUGAAAUCGCAAGUGAAGUGGCUCAAGGUCAUCUGGCGUUCAGCUUCUCAGCAUGCCGUGUGGUGUUCGCUGCAGAGCACACCCCCAGCUGCUGACACGGUCACUAGGCAGUUUCCCUGGUGACUGCUAAAGCCGACCUGGAAUGCGCUCUCUGUCUCCAGUGCAGCUCUGGCCAAGGACGCUCAAAAAAUCGCCCUGGCGAGUCAAACUGACCAGAGACUGGCCAAGGGAAUCAGAGGAGGUGCACAGGAACGCUCCCAUCACACCACAGAAAACUGAGCAUCCGGAAUCACUUCACCCUCCUUCCCAUGACCAGCCACCCUCCCCGGAGAGACUCCUGUGUCCAAGUCGGAGAGCACUUGGGAGCACCCCAGGACCCUGAACCAGACCUGGGUUGUGUUUCUGGGUGCCGCCAAGCCAGCAGUCUGGGGAUGGAGCUGCCACAGGAGGCCAGGGCAGGUGGCUCUUUGGAGAAGUGCCAGGGAGACGGACGGAGCACCCCCAGAACACUCACUGUCAGCCUCUGCUAACCUGCUGGGUACCCAACGUUUUCUGGAACCAGCUGUGUUCACUUGUCCCCAGUUUGGUCUCCCAGGAACACAGCAGCUAGAUGCACCUCCCGGUGGCCACACACCUGCACCCUUAUGCCCAGUGUGAUGCGGACAUCUGGGAGCGUGCCUCCAAACACCACAGAAGCCUGGGAUCACUGUGUAAGAAUGCUCUGACACAGAUUCUGAAUGCGUGGUGCUCUGCGCUCCUCCACCCCCACCUUGCUCUGACACCCAGCCCAGGACAGGCUGCUGAGCCCUCCUUAGAGAUCCCGACUUGGCUUGUCACCACCCCCCAGCCCCCACCCCCACCGCCGUGCCUGCUAUGUGGAUCUGGCUGCACUCCUCCUGCAGAUCCGUGGCCCUGGACCAGUGAGCCGUGGCUGGAGCUCCAGCCAGAGAGGCCUGGAUUUCUCUCCUGAAUCAGGGAACAGGCCCUGGCAGCUGUGCGGAGGGCCAGGAAGACGGGAGCUGGUGGCGGGAAGGCUGCAGAAAGGGCAGAGCACCUCCGUAGGGAGCUGCGGGAAGCACCUGUUUCCCCCCUCCCCAAAGUGUGGUCAGGGGCUGGGUGGAGAAAUCAGCCCUACAAGCCCCCUGGAGCGACUAGUGUCCUGAAUCUCUACAACCACAUUUAUUCCAAGGCUCUCGACAAGGAAGUCCCCAGCUAGAGAGACCCUGCCACCCAGACCUGUGCAUCUGAUCCUGGCGGGGCUUACAGAUGCUUGAGGACCCAAGGCUGAGAGCCCCGCAGCAAUCCUGAUCCCAUCACUGCUGGUCACAAUGGAGUCCUGAGCCUCACGAGCCCCCUGCUCUGUACGGCCCCGAAAGGCUGUUUAUUAAUAAGACCCCUGGGUUCUCACCCCAGACUCAGUGAAUCAAAGUCUUCAGACCUGGAGCCCCAACUCUGUGUUUUUAAGGGUCCCCAGGAAAUUCUGAGGCACAGACUGGGGUGGGGACCACGGAGCCUGGUUAGCCCAUCAUGUCCAGAUAUGGAGAGGCCCCUGCAAGGUGUCUUGCUGAAGCCACACAGCUCUUAGCGACAGUUGUGGCUGGGCUCUUUCCUCCCCAAACAAGGUGAAAUCCCCAGGUAAGACCCUUCCUUGCAGUCAUGCUGGCACGAGGGUGCUGAUCCUUCCCGGUGCUCCUGGGGAACGCAGUUGACAUUUAUUUAGUAUUUGAGCUAGGCCCUUGGACGUUGCCCUUUUAACCACACCCCGGUGGAGGCACACAAUUAUGUAUAUAUUAAAAGUUUUUAAUCAUGCAAAAGGAGGACAGAAAGACACUCCUGAGACAGACUUUCCAUUUCUGGCUGCAUGAUCAAUUUCCUGUCACUGGAUGUGGUUCCCGGCUCACCUCCCUAAGGCUCAUACCAGGAGAAAGCUGGCGCUGACAAGCAUUCUCUGAAAAGGAGAGUUCGUUUCUUCUACUCUUGAGCCUCAAAGGAGCCAGCAUGCAGACAGGGACACUUGGGUGGCUCGGUGGUUGAGCAUCUGCCUUCGACUCAGGUCGUGAUCCCAGGGUCCUGGGAUCGAGUCCUGCAUUGGGCUCCCCAGAGGGAGCCUGCUUCUCCCUCUGCCUGUCU